Molecule: transfer RNA, 77 nt
Filed under: Alkalitalea saponilacus
Lineage: Bacteria; Pseudomonadati; Bacteroidota; Bacteroidia; Marinilabiliales; Marinilabiliaceae
Description: tRNA_Arg_ACG
Rfam family: tRNA
About the family: Transfer RNA (tRNA) molecules are approximately 80 nucleotides in length. Their secondary structure includes four short double-helical elements and three loops (D, anti-codon, and T loops). Further hydrogen bonds mediate the characteristic L-shaped molecular structure. tRNAs have two regions of fundamental functional importance: the anti-codon, which is responsible for specific mRNA codon recognition, and the 3' end, to which the tRNAs corresponding amino acid is attached (by aminoacyl-tRNA synthetases). tRNAs cope with the degeneracy of the genetic code in two manners: having more than one tRNA (with a specific anti-codon) for a particular amino acid; and 'wobble' base-pairing, i.e. permitting non-standard base-pairing at the 3rd anti-codon position.
Source: RNAcentral
GAUUCCGUAGCUUAAUUGGAUAGAGCACCUGGUUACGGCCCAGGAGGUUGGGGGUUCGAGUCCCUCCGGGAUCACAA